RNA transcript from Odobenus rosmarus divergens (Pacific walrus), 886 nucleotides. It is a transcript of the gene named serine/threonine/tyrosine-interacting protein-like, with no coding region annotated. NCBI's taxonomy places the organism in Eukaryota, Metazoa, Chordata, Mammalia, Carnivora, Odobenidae. The transcript has a single exon. The record is from RefSeq and is a predicted model, not a curated record.
AUGUGUUGUAAGCCCGCUGCCCGCCCCGUCAGUCCUCCGGUCCACCCAUCCUCCUUCCUUUCUCUGCCACUGGCCUCCCGACGUCGGAGACCGGAGACCGGGGACGGGAUAACUCCCACUCCCCACCCCACCCACAAGCCCCGGGGCCGCACCACGGAGGAUGUGAAGCUGGGGGUCCCCUCGCUCCCGCAGGGCAAAGAAGAUGCCCGAAGAAUGGACCUACCCUAUGAAAAGAGAGAUGCAGGAAAUUUUACCUGGAUUGUUUUUAGGUCCAUAUUCUUCUGCUACGAAAAGCAAGCUACCUGUAUUACAGAAACAUGGAAUAACCCCUAUAAUAUGCAUAAGACAAAAUAUUGAAGCAAACUUUGUUAAAUCAACCUUUCAACAAUUGUUUAGAUAUUUAGUCUUGGAUAUUGCAGAUAAUCCAGUUGAAAAUAUAAUACGUUAUUUUCCCAUGAUUAAAGAAUUUACUGACGGAGAAAAAGUUCUUGUCCCAGGAAAUGCAGGGAUCGCCAGGAGUGCUGCCUCUGUUAUUGCAUACAUUAUGGAAACAUUUGGAGUGAAGUACAGAGAUGCAUUUGCUUAUGUUCAAGAAAGAAGGUUUUGUAUUAAUCCUAAUGCUGGAUUUGUCCAUCAACUUCAGGAAUAUGAAGCCAUCUACCUAACAAAAUUAACAAUACAGAUGACGUCAGCACACAAGAUAGAAAGGUCAUUAUCUGUUCAUUCUGGACUCACAGGCAGUUUGCAGAGAACACAGGAAGAAAAAGAUGGUUUGGGAAACAUGCAGGUGGUGGCUGCAAAGAAUGGCCGGCUCAAGAGCAACAAACAUAGGGGAUGUGAAUUUCUAUUUGGGAGGGAGAAAAUACUAGAGACAAUAAUAAUGUAA